RNAcentral lists this ribosomal RNA (305 nucleotides) under uncultured bacterium. RNAcentral describes it as "bacterial SSU rRNA". It matches the Rfam family "Bacterial small subunit ribosomal RNA", at positions 338 to 661 of the family's 1533-position model. The record is from RNAcentral.
CCUACGGGACGCAGCAGUGGGGGAUAUUGCACAAUGGGGGGAACCCUGAUGCAGCGACGCCGCGUGGGCGAUGGAGUACUUCGGUAUGUAAAGCCCUAUCAGCAGGGAAGAAAAUGACGGUACCUGACUAAGAAGCCCCGGCUAACUACGUGCCAGCAGCCGCGGUAAUACGUAGGGGGCAAGCGUUAUCCGGAUUUACUGGGUGUAAGGGAGCGUAGACGGCCAGACAAGUCUGAAGUGAAAAUCCAGCGCUUAACGUUGGAAGUGCUUUGGAAACUGCCGGGCUAGAGUGCAGGAGGGGCAGG